AGUGAACGCUGGCGGUAGGCCUAACACAUGCAAGUCGAACGGCAGCACAGUAAGAGCUUGCUCUUACGGGUGGCGAGUGGCGGACGAGUGAGGAAUACAUCGGAAUCUACUUUUUCGUGGGGGAUAACGUAGGGAAACUUACGCUAAUACCGCAUACGACCUACGGGUGAAAGCAGGGGAUCUUCGGACCUUGCGCGAUUGAAUGAGCCGAUGUCGGAUUAGCUAGUUGGCGGGGUAAAGGCCCACCAAGGCGACGAUCCGUAGCUGUCUGAGAGGAUGAUCAGCCACACUGGAACUGAGACACGGUCCAGACUCCUACGGGAGGCAGCAGUGGGGAAUAUUGGACAAUGGGCGCAAGCCUGAUCCAGCCAUACCGCGUGGGUGAAGAAGGCCUUCGGGUUGUAAAGCCCUUUUGUUGGGAAAGAAAAGCAGCAGGUUAAUACCCCGCUGUUCUGACGGUACCCAAAGAAUAAGCACCGGCUAACUUCGUG
This 491-nucleotide ribosomal RNA is filed under the name uncultured bacterium. RNAcentral describes it as "partial 16S ribosomal RNA". It matches the Rfam family "Bacterial small subunit ribosomal RNA", at positions 29 to 507 of the family's 1533-position model. The record is from RNAcentral.